This 253-nucleotide ribosomal RNA is filed under the name uncultured bacterium. RNAcentral describes it as "partial 16S ribosomal RNA". It matches the Rfam family "Bacterial small subunit ribosomal RNA", at positions 524 to 776 of the family's 1533-position model. The record is from RNAcentral.
UACGUAGGGAGCGAGCGUUGUCCGGAAUUACUGGGCGUAAAGGGCGCGUAGGCGGCCGAUUAAGUUAGAUGUGAAAAACCGGGGCUCAACUCCGGGAUGGCAUUUAAGACUGGUCGGCUUGAGGGUGAGAGAGGAAAGUGGAAUUCCUAGUGUAGCGGUGAAAUGCGUAGAUAUUAGGAGGAACACCAGUGGCGAAGGCGACUUUCUGGCUCAUACCUGACGCUGAGGCGCGAAAGCGUUGGGAGCAAACAGG